CGGCUUCCGCGCCUCCAGGAGUCCUGAGCCCCGCCCUGCACCCGAACCCCGCCCUCUCCGACGAAGGUUUCCAAGCUUCAAGGACCCACUGGGCCCCGCCCCUCACUCGGGCCCUGCCUCCUCCGGCACGGCUUCCGCGCCUCCAGGAGCCCUGGGCCAGCCCCUCGCUCGAGUCCCGCACCCCUGCGGCGUCGGCCUCCGAGCGUCCAGGGGCCCUGAGCCCCGCCCCUUCCUGCUAUACCCAGCCAUUGCGGGCGUGGGCGGGCGCCACCGGACCGCCCGCCCGCCCCUCCCAGCGUCCGUUAGGGCGCCGCGAGGGGCCCAGAGUCCCUCCCCUUGCUGGGCCUACAACGCCGUCGCAGCGGCCUUAAGCCCCGCCUAUCACUGGAGCCAUGCCCGCGUCCGAGUCCCACCCUCACCGCUGCCAGAGCUACGGCGGCCGCGCGCCUUCGUGGCCGCGCCCGCUCCUGCCCGGGGCCCCGUGUGUCUUGGGCCCGCCCUUCCGGGCGCUGCCGCGCUGGGUGGCGGAGUCGGGAUCCAGGUGGCCCGGCGGCACCCGGCCCAGUCCACCGCCCCUCCCUCGGCCUCGCGCCCCACCCUUUGGCUGAGGAAACAGACUGAGAGGGGAGGUGACUGAUCCAGGGGCAUACAGAAAUUCAGGCCCUGGGGAGUAUAGGGCCAGGCCUGGGGCAGAAGACCGGUUGGCGUCCAGUACGCCGCAGGGACCCGCCAAAGGAGACAGUGCCCAGUGAUGCUCUCCCAAAUCCAGGGGAGAAGGACUCAACGCUCCGGUGCCCACCACAAAAAGACGCCAGCCCCAUAUGAUGUGAAUGCACUGGGCCCCAGCCAGGAGAUGGAGACCCGUGAAGGGAAGCAAAGCAGCGCCUUCCCAGCCAGCAGCAGCAGCUACCCCUCCCAUUUCCUUCUUUGCCUGUGUGGGCCGUUCCCUCAUAGCAGCUCUAAUAUGAGAUGCUGGAGCCUGACCCAGAAUCGGGGCCCAACACAGUAUCCCCUUCUCGGACAGCACUGUGGUCCCUGCAGUUCAUGCGCCGUCUGUCUCUGUGCCUCAGUUCUCCCCUGUGCCAUGACCUCCCAUCAGGGCCAGCAUAUGGGGCAUCAGGAGAAUGGGUGCAGUUGUCACCUGGAAACCUCAGAACUCUUGGGGCCCAGUUAUGGCCAUACACAGCAGCCACCCCUGUCCCCAAACACUGAAGGUGAGCCCCUGCCCAGACUCCCCAGGAGGCCAGGCUGCCAUCAGACCCAGCCUGCCCCAGGCCUGUGGACAGGGCCAGUCCCAGGGCAGGAGGGUAGUGGCCCAGCCUGUGGGUCCCUCCAGGCCUCUCAUCUGCUUGUGUGCCUGAGUAAGUCCAGGCUGGCUCUGGGCUCCAGGUGCUCCCCUGGAGGACCCAGAGGGGGCUUCCCCAGAGGGCCUCUUUUGCCCCAUGGGAUGUGGCCUGACGCCAAUUCUUCUGCAUCCAUCACACCGUUAUGGCGUCUAGUACUUAGCUCUCUGGGUUUAUUUUGCACACACUCCUGCCCCUGA
RNAcentral lists this long non-coding RNA (1543 nucleotides) under Macaca mulatta (Rhesus monkey). RNAcentral describes it as "lncRNA (ENSMMUG00000055821.1)". Lineage: Eukaryota; Metazoa; Chordata; Mammalia; Primates; Cercopithecidae. The record is from RNAcentral.